RNAcentral lists this ribosomal RNA (459 nucleotides) under uncultured bacterium. Its description in RNAcentral is "partial 16S ribosomal RNA". It matches the Rfam family "Bacterial small subunit ribosomal RNA", at positions 338 to 795 of the family's 1533-position model. The record is from RNAcentral.
CCUACGGGAGGCUGCAGUGAGGAAUAUUGGUCAAUGGGCGCGAGCCUGAACCAGCCAAGUAGCGUGCGGGAAGACGGUCCUAUGGAUUGUAAACCUCUUUUGUCGGGGAGCAAAAGACGCAUCGCGUGGCGUUCCGAGAGUACCCGAAGAAAAAGCAUCGGCUAACUCCGUGCCAGCAGCCGCGGUAAUACGGAGGAUGCGAGCGUUAUCCGGAUUUAUUGGGUUUAACGUGUACGCAGGCUGAAUAUUAAGUCAGCGGUAAAAUUGAGGGGCUCAACCUCUUCGAGCCUUUGAAACUAGUAUUCUUGAGUUAGUUAGAGGUAUGCGGAAUGCCUGGUGAAGCGGUGAAAUGCGUAGAUAUCUCGCAGAACACCGAUGGCGAAGGCAGCAUACUGGCUCUCAACUGACGCUCAUGCACGAAAGUGUGGGUAUCGAACAGGAUUAGAUACCCGAGUAGUC